CCUCCUUUCUUCCUCCUUUCUUCCUCUUUUUCCCUUUCCUUCCUCCUGCCCCCGCCCCGUCGCGUGCGGGAUGAAGGUUCUAUGGAUCGUAAACCUCUUUUAUAAGGGAAUAAAGUGCGGGACGUGUCCCGUUUUGUAUGUACCUUAUGAAUAAGGAUCGGCUAACUCCGUGCCAGCAGCCGCGGUAAUACGGAGGAUCCGAGCGUUAUCCGGAUUUAUUGGGUUUAAAGGGUGCGUAGGCGGAAUGCCAAGUCAGCGGUAAAAUCGCGGGGCUCAACCUCGCUCCGCCGUUGAAUCUGGCGUUCUUGAGUGGGCGAGAAGUAUGCGGAAUGCGUGGUGUAGCGGUGAAAUGCAUAGAUAUCACGCAGAACUCCGAUUGCGAAGGCAGCAUACCGGCGCCCAACUGACGCUGAAGCACGAAAGCGUGGGUAUCGAACAGGAUUAGAUACCCGAGUAGUC
Molecule: ribosomal RNA, 459 nt
Filed under: uncultured bacterium
Lineage: Bacteria
Description: partial 16S ribosomal RNA
Rfam family: Bacterial small subunit ribosomal RNA
Source: RNAcentral